RNAcentral lists this ribosomal RNA (482 nucleotides) under uncultured bacterium. RNAcentral's name for it is "partial 16S ribosomal RNA". It matches the Rfam family "Bacterial small subunit ribosomal RNA", at positions 30 to 507 of the family's 1533-position model. The record is from RNAcentral.
AUUGAACGCUGGCGGCAUGCUUUACACAUGCAAGUCGAACGGUAACAGCACUUCGGUGGCUGACGAGUGGCGCACGGGUGCGUAAUACAUCGGAACGUGCCUAGUAGUGGGGGAUAACUACUCGAAAGAGUAGCUAAUACCGCAUGAGAUCUAAGGAUGAAAGCAGGGGACCUUCGGGCCUUGCGCUACUAGAGCGGCUGAUGGCAGAUUAGGUAGUUGGUGGGAUAAAAGCUUACCAAGCCGACGAUCUGUAGCUGGUCUGAGAGGACGACCAGCCACACUGGGACUGAGACACGGCCCAGACUCCUACGGGAGGCAGCAGUGGGGAAUUUUGGACAAUGGGCGCAAGCCUGAUCCAGCAAUGCCGCGUGCAGGAUGAAGGCCUUCGGGUUGUAAACUGCUUUUGUACGGAACGAAAAGCCCUCUUCUAAUACAGGAGGGUCAUGACGGUACCGGAAGAAUAAGCACCGGCUAACUACGUG